Molecule: ribosomal RNA, 253 nt
Filed under: uncultured bacterium
Lineage: Bacteria
Description: partial 16S ribosomal RNA
Rfam family: Bacterial small subunit ribosomal RNA
Source: RNAcentral
GACAGAGGUCCCAAGCGUUAGGCGGAAUCACUGGGCUUAAAGCGUGUGUAGGUGGAUGCCUAAGUACCUUGUGAAAUCCCACAGCUUAACUGUGGAACUGCUUGGUAUACUGGGUGUCUUGAGUCACUCAGGGGCGAGCGGAACAAAUGGUGGAGCGGUGAAAUGCGUAGAUAUCAUUUGGAACGCCAAUGGUGAAAACAGCUCGCUGGGGGUGCACUGACACUGAGACACGAAAGCCAGGGGAGCGAACGGG